RNAcentral lists this ribosomal RNA (484 nucleotides) under uncultured bacterium. RNAcentral describes it as "partial 16S ribosomal RNA". It matches the Rfam family "Bacterial small subunit ribosomal RNA", at positions 28 to 523 of the family's 1533-position model. The record is from RNAcentral.
GACGAACGCUGGCGGCGUGCUUAACACAUGCAAGUCGAACGAUGAAGCUAGAGCUUGCUCUGGUGAAUUAGUGGCGAACGGGUGAGUAACACGUGAGUAACCUGCCCCGAACUCUGGAAUAAGUGCUGGAUACGGUAGCUAAUACUGGAUACGACCUACGAAGGCAACUUCCGUAGGUGGAAAGAUAUUCGGUUCGAGAUGGACUACCGGCCUAUCAGCUUGUUGGGGAGGGAAUGUCUCACCAAGGCGACGUCGGGUAGCCGGCCUGAGAGGGGGACCGGCCACACUGGGACUGAGACACGGCCCAGACUCCUACGGGAGGCAGCAGUGGGGAAUAUUGCACAAUGGGCGCAAGCCUGAUGCAGCAACGCCGCGUGAGGGAUGACGGCCUUCGGGUUGUAAACCUCUUUUAGUAGGGAAGAAGCGAAAGUGACGGUACCUGCAGAAAAAGCACCGGCUAACUACGUGCCAGCCGCCGCGGUAA